GUGGGGAAUAUUGCGCAAUGGGGGAAACCCUGACGCAGCGACGCCGUGUGAGGGAAGAAGGCUUUCGGGUCGUAAACCUCUGUCAGGAAGGAAGAACCUCUCAAGGCUGAGCAAGCCUUGGGACUGACGGUACUUCCAGAGGAAGCACCGGCUAACUCCGUGCCAGCAGCCGCGGUAAUACGGAGGGUGCAAGCGUUAAUCGGAAUCAAUGGGCGUAAAGCGCGCGUAGGCCGUCUUUUAAGUCGGACGUGAAAGCCCUCGGCUCAACCGGGGAACUGCGUGCGAUACUGGGAGACUUGAGGCCUGGAGAGGGUGGCGGAAUUCCGGGUGUAGGAGUGAAAUCCGUAGAUAUCCGGAGGAACACCGGUGGCGAAGGCGGCCACCUGGACAGGUACUGACGCUGAGGCGCGAAAGCGUGGGGAGCAAACAGGAUUAGAAACCCUAGUAGUCC
RNAcentral lists this ribosomal RNA (451 nucleotides) under uncultured bacterium. RNAcentral's name for it is "partial 16S ribosomal RNA". It matches the Rfam family "Bacterial small subunit ribosomal RNA", at positions 354 to 796 of the family's 1533-position model. The record is from RNAcentral.